RNAcentral lists this ribosomal RNA (788 nucleotides) under uncultured bacterium. Its description in RNAcentral is "bacterial SSU rRNA". It matches the Rfam family "Bacterial small subunit ribosomal RNA", at positions 9 to 795 of the family's 1533-position model. The record is from RNAcentral.
GAUUUUGAUCCUGGCUCAGGACGAACGCUGGCGGUGCGCCUAAUGCAUGCAAGUCGAACGGUCCCGGUUCGCUUUGGCUUAUCGGGAUAGUGGCGAACUGCUGAGUAACACGUAAGUAACCUGCCCUGAAGCGGGGGAUAAUCCCGAGAAAUCGGGCCUAAUACCGCGUACGUUUCGCGCCGACACGUCGGUGCGAAAGAAAGGCUCUCGACUUGUCGAGGGUCGCUUCUGGAGGGGCUUGCGGCCUAUCAGGUAGUUGGCGGGGUAAUGGCCCACCAAGCCGAAGACGGGUAACCGGUGUGAGAGCAUGACCGGUCAGAGGGGGACUGAGACACGGCCCCCACUCCUACGGGAGGCAGCAGCUGAGAAUCUUGCGCAAUGGGCUACAUGGCCUGACGCAGCGACACCGCGUGGGGGAAGAAAGCUUUAGGGCUGUAAACCCCUUUUCUCGGGAAAGAGAGAGGACGGUACCCGAGGAAUAAGCCUCGGCUAACUACGUGCCAGCAGCCGCGGUAAUACGUAGGAGGCGAGCGUUGUCCGGAUUUACUGGGCGUAAAGGGCGAGUAGGCGGCUCGUUAAGUCUCGUGUGAAAUCUCCCGGCUCAACUGGGAGGGGUCAUGGGAAACUGGCGGGCUUGAGGGCAGCAGAGGAAAGCGGAAUUUCCGGAGUAGCGGUGAAAUGCGUAGAUACCGGAAGGAACACCCGAGGCGAAGGCGGCUUUCUGGGCUGUCUCUGACGCUGAGGCGCGAAAGCAUGGGGAGCGAACCGGAUUAGAUACCCUGGUAGUC